CCCAUGAAAGGAUCAGCCUCCUAAGACCAAGAUCAGCAAUCAUACUCUUCUUUUUCUUCACUCCAGCCAUCUGCUAACAAGAAAAGAAAGGCAAAUAUCUUGGGAAUAAGAACCCAGUUGGGAUAAAUAUUCCAGGAUGCUUUGAAUGUCAAGGCCUGCCUUCCAAGUUUACCUUGCUUCCUGUGAGCCUUGAAAAACCGAAAAUAAGCUUUGGAAGAGAUGCCAAGUAGAAGUUUGCAUGGGGAGAAGAUACUAGUGAGAACGAAGCAUAUAAAACUGGGCCCAGGACUAUGAUAGGAAGAAGUCAAAUUAAAGAGAAGGUACAGAGUAGGAAAUGUAUUAGUAACGUGUGAAAGCAUUUGGAGCCUGCAGCCAAGAAGAGGGAGAGAGAGGGAAAGAAGGGGAAGAAAAGCAAAGAGCUCAGAAGAGGGACUUUUCUUCUAUUGCCAGUUUCUUCUGUACUUUUGCCCAGAUCAAUAGAGGAAGUCAAAAGAAAAACAAAAAUGAAAACAUGCAAAUGGCAACUUUAGGUGGUAACAUUUCAUUCAGCUUCUCUGCCUUCUCUGGACUAGUGGAUGGAGUGGAAAUUUAUGGGCUCCCAGUUCCUAUCAUGAGCAGCUGGAGAUCUCAACUUCAUCUUGGAGCCCUACCUCACAAAAGCAUUUCAAGUUCUCAAGGCGUGUCCCAUGGCUGGAAUGAUGUGCUUCACAGAGAAAGGUUAAGGAAACAAACAUUCACCUUCAGUGUUGGAAUCUACGGAAGCAAAUACCAACUAAAACAUGACCAAAAGUCAAUUGAAGGAGAAACAGAACAGAUUGGAAUUCCUUGUGGCCCCCCUCCUGGUUUCUUUGAGGCCCCAGGCAAGUGAGCAUGUGCUAAUUUGCAUGGUUGACUAAAUGGCAUGCUUAGACCCCAAAUUUGCAUCUCUGCUUGGGUUCAAAAGUGGGUCCUGGAGCCAGUUUCCCUUGGCUCCUCUGUUAUUUCCCAUUCGCUAAGUCAAACCCCUUUGGGAGCGCUGCUCACCAGGGUAUAGAGAAGUGCAGAGAAGCAAUAAAGGCUGAGCCCCGUUCUUGCUCUAAUGUGGGGUACAGCCAGCUGGUACUGAUGUGAUGGGAUAAGGUAGCGGAGAGAGAGAGAGAGCUGGAAGGAGCAGGAGGUAAUCUCCCAGGCAACGUGCAAAAGUUCUGGAGUGACUUGCCUCACUCACUCCCUUUCCAGUGGAGUUCAGCUGUCUAUACUUGAGCCUGCACAGUUUUAAUCCUCCUUCCUCCUCCCAGUCUCAAAUGGGAAGGAGAGAUUAAAGGCAAGUUGAAUAGCUUUAUGUAAACCAUAGAUUUCUCUGUGCUCCAAUUUCCUUACCUGUGAAAUGGGACUCGAAUACUUGCCUGGUCUAAUACACUGGACAGGCAGAAGGGGUGUAAUGAUAUUUUGAGAUUACUUAAGAUCCAAUAAAGAAAAAUAAAGUUCCUCUUGUCCACUGCAUUGAGAAAGCUUCUGAAACAGAAGGGAAGGUCCUUGGGAAGAAUGCCAGGAUCGGUGCUUAAUAACUGCC
Molecule: long non-coding RNA, 1552 nt
Filed under: Sus scrofa (pig)
Lineage: Eukaryota; Metazoa; Chordata; Mammalia; Artiodactyla; Suidae
Source: RNAcentral